This 268-nucleotide ribosomal RNA is filed under the name Lacticaseibacillus sp. RNAcentral describes it as "partial 16S ribosomal RNA". It matches the Rfam family "Bacterial small subunit ribosomal RNA", at positions 1163 to 1429 of the family's 1533-position model. Lineage: Bacteria; Bacillati; Bacillota; Bacilli; Lactobacillales; Lactobacillaceae. The record is from RNAcentral.
CGGAGGAAAGGUGGGGGAUGACGUCAAAUCAUCAUGCCCCUUAUGACCUGGGCUACACACGUGCUACAAUGGAUGGUACAACGAGUUGCGAGACCGCGAGGUCAAGCUAAUCUCUUAAAGCCAUUCUCAGUUCGGACUGUAGGCUGCAACUCGCCUACACGAAGUCGGAAUCGCUAGUAAUCGCGGAUCAGCACGCCGCGGUGAAUACGUUCCCGGGCCUUGUACACACCGCCCGUCACACCAUGAGAGUUUGUAACACCCGAAGCCG